RNAcentral lists this ribosomal RNA (442 nucleotides) under uncultured bacterium. Its description in RNAcentral is "partial 16S ribosomal RNA". It matches the Rfam family "Bacterial small subunit ribosomal RNA", at positions 338 to 795 of the family's 1533-position model. The record is from RNAcentral.
CCUACGGGAGGCAGCAGUGGGGGAUAUUGCACGAUGGGGGAAACCCUGAUGCAGCGACGCCGCGUGGGCGAAGAAGUAUUUCGGUAUGUAAAGCCCUAUCAGCAGGGAAGAAGAAAUGACGGUACCUGAGUAAGAAGCACCGGCUAAAUACGUGCCAGCAGCCGCGGUAAUACGUAUGGUGCAAGCGUUAUCCGGAUUUACUGGGUGGAAAGGGAGCGCAGGCGGCACGGCAAGCCUGAUGUGAAAGCCCGCGGCCCAACCGCGGGACUGCAUUGGGAACUACCGGGCUGGAGUGCCGGAGAGGUAGGCGGAAUUCCUAGUGUAGCGGUGAAAUGCGUAGAUAUUAGGAGGAACACCAGUGGCGAAGGCGGCCUACUGGACGGUGACUGACGCUGAGGCUCGAAAGCGUGGGGAGCAAACAGGAUUAGAUACCCGGGUAGUC